This 117-nucleotide ribosomal RNA is filed under the name Deltaproteobacteria bacterium. The record is from RNAcentral. Lineage: Bacteria; Pseudomonadati; Myxococcota; Myxococcia.
UCCGGUGGUUAUAGCGAAGCGGUCACACCCGAUCCCAUCCCGAACUCGGAAGUUAAGCGCUUCAGCGCCGAUGGCACUGCCAGGGAAGCUUGGUGGGAGAGUAGGACGCUGCCGGAU